Long non-coding RNA from Pomacea canaliculata, 2533 nucleotides. RefSeq lists it as uncharacterized. The record is from RefSeq and is a predicted model, not a curated record. The transcript is spliced from 2 exons. NCBI's taxonomy places the organism in Eukaryota, Metazoa, Mollusca, Gastropoda, Architaenioglossa, Ampullariidae.
GUACCACCUAACAUAGUACAUGUACCACCUUAACAUAGUACAUGUACCACCCAUAGUACAUGUACCACCUUAACAUAGUACAUGUACCACCUAACCUGGCCUCACCUAAGUGUGUACCGGUUAGCGUCUGUCCACAAUACAGUGAAGGUUGGCUGUCCAAGGUUCAAGUCUCGACUCAGGCACGCAGUUCUUUAUUUUCAUGUGGCAUCUGUUUCCAGGGUUAGCUACCUUGCCGUGAUGUAGUCUUAGUUGCCGUGAUAUAGCUUUAGUUGCUGACUUCCUUGUCGUGAUAUAGUUUUAGAUGCUGACUAGCUUGUCGUCAUAUAGUUUUAGUUGCUGGUUGUAUUGUCGUGAUAUAGCUUUAGUUGCUGGCUGUCUUGUGAUAUAGCCUUAGUUGCUGGUUGUCUUGUCGUGGUAUAGCCUUGACUGCUUACUUGGUGUAAAACCCCCCGCCUGGCCACGAUGUCCCUCCCAAACCAGUACUGCCUAACCUGGUGCCACCUACCUAGAGGCUGCAUGUCGCACACUGGUUUUCUCACUUUUUGCAGGUCUCUGGCUUGGCUGUCCGCAAAGCCGCAUUUCAACUCCUGCACGAUUCAUAGUGUUGACCGAGUCGUUAACUAUUGAUUAAUUUGUUAAUGCCAUUGAUUGGGAUUUCUGGUAGCGGCAGACACCCUGCCAGGUAGUUUUUCUGGUUAUAAAGCCGAACAAAAUAUGUUGCUAAUCAGAAGUGUGUGUGUGUGAGAGAUAAUGUGAAUAGAUGUAGGUAUAAAUGUGUUUUAUGUGUGUGUGUGUGUGUGCACGAGUGAAUGUAUAUGUGCGCGUGUGGCAGUCAGACGGUGUGGACGCAUGGUGAUGACUUAUUGAUAAGUGAAGGAUGACAGUAACUGAGGAAGACAGACAAGAGCAGGGUUAGGUGACAGCACAUAGGAUACAGCCAGUGGACAGCUGCCAGCCUUUAUCGAUCUGUACUCACUAGGAAGCUCUUGCAAUAAUCUUCAUUUGUUUCGCGGACAACAAAAAAACUUCAGCAUCACCUAUCCACUCAGCCUCGCACGCACGCGCGGCUAGGCUGUCAGACGUCAGCACCAUCACGGGUGCCCACCCGCUGUCGGAAAGGUACUAGCACGAUGACGGCAGUCGUCGUAGUCAUCGACGUACUUCUCAAAUCAUCGUCAGAAAUCUCCAGCCCGUCGUCUCGUUGGCGCCUGUGUGCGGCACGUGUCAGCUUUGAUGGUUUGGCAAGCCCCAGUGCGCAUGCGUGUUGGACUGGCAAGCUGAUGGCUGCGCACGCGCAGAGCUAGCGCCCACCGAAUAUCGAGGCGCGCAUCUUAAGAAAUUACAGUCGUGCGCAGAAAAAUCACUUUUUGUAACAUUUCAGGUGGCCGUAACUACACCAGCUGCGGCAGCGACUUUUGUGGUAGCCGACGCCUUCAUUGCAGUUUAGUGUCCGACACCGAGCGGCGUGCAAGUGCUUCAUUACACCCUGGUGCUGGUGCAGACAGGUGGCGCUGUGACAGAUGACUGACAGACGAGCCGGGGGCUGGUGUAGGCCCACCAUGCUGCUGAAGCUGGUAGCUGCCGUCGCUCUUCUCAGCGGAGGCGCAAACAGCCGGAGGUAUCGAUACUGCGGACAAGGCUGUUGUUUGCACGAAUACUGCGCCUACCACACCAUCUGCUAUCCCAAGAUCCACUGUCACCUGGGCUGUCCGACGGCACGUGCGAGCAGGGUACCUGCAUGCCCCUUGUCCCGUGCAACACUUCCACCCCGUGCUCGCUGGGACACGUGUGUGACUUCCACUUCAACCUGGGCUACCACACCUGCCAGUACAACCUGGACAUGGCAACACCUUGUGCGUGGACAGGGAGGGUCGCUCCAUCCUCAAGCCCCUGACAUGACGCAGAAACAGCCCCGCCCUGUUGGUUGGGGGAGGGAGGAAGAUGCCGUAGCUAUGGGGUGGGGGUGACACGAGGCUUUAGUCAACGUCCACGAUGCUCACGGCCUAACCACAGAGAAUACGUCAACAUGAGUCGCAUAACAACGCCACUUGUCAUGGCAGUCGGACACCGGAAGCAGCUGACCAUAGCAUUAUUAGUGGGUUUUUUAUAAAAAAAUGUGACACUAUACUUAUUCCAAGGGACAGCCGUGUUAAUCCAGGUAUUGAACGGGUACAUAACCCCGUAUAAGGUUUGGGAAAAGAAGACAGCGGGGAAGUGACAGCCUCACAAAAAUCGGACCCGAGAUACCGGACUUCCCAACGACCGAAAGGUCACGGGCUACGUUGACUAGACGCUCACCUAGCAAAGCCUAGCAGGACCACAACACCUUCCAGUAAUUUUUAGCGCGUGCGGUGUUCUGUAGACAACAAGCAGUCGAGUAGUUAGCGCACCCGACAAACUCAGUAUGAGGUCUUGUGGAGAAAGGCAAAACACAAGCAGCUGUCUAAUGUACAAAAUGUUUAACUCAGCUUUAUGUAAGUAGUGGUUGCUAACGCUACAUCAUGUUAAAUAAUAAACUGCGGCAAAGUGAAAA